UGUUAUGGUAUGUCGUCGCCGUC
RNAcentral lists this non-coding RNA (23 nucleotides) under Arabidopsis thaliana (thale cress). The record is from RNAcentral. Lineage: Eukaryota; Viridiplantae; Streptophyta; Magnoliopsida; Brassicales; Brassicaceae.